AGGAUAAACGCUGGCGGCGUGCCUAACACAUGCAAGUCGAACGUCCUACUCCGCAAGGGGUAGGGAGUGGCGGACGGGUGAGUACCACGUGGGUUAUCUGCCUUUAGGUGAGGAAUACCGGCGAGAAAUCGCCGACAAUACCGCAUAACUUUGGAAACAAAGAAAGCUCCGCAAGGGGUGCCUGAGGAGGAGCCUGCGCCCGAUUAGUUGGUUGGCGGGGUAAUGGCCCACCAAGACUGUGAUCGGUA
This 248-nucleotide ribosomal RNA is filed under the name uncultured bacterium. RNAcentral's name for it is "partial small subunit ribosomal RNA". It matches the Rfam family "Bacterial small subunit ribosomal RNA", at positions 26 to 285 of the family's 1533-position model. The record is from RNAcentral.